Molecule: long non-coding RNA, 1043 nt
Filed under: Ursus maritimus (polar bear)
Lineage: Eukaryota; Metazoa; Chordata; Mammalia; Carnivora; Ursidae
Description: lncRNA (ENSUMAG00000002570.1)
Source: RNAcentral
AUGGUGCAUCUCCCUGAGAAUCCUCAGUGUGCCUGUUCUCCAUGGGACUGGAGGCUCUCUGCAGAGGAAUGUCACUUGGAGCUUGAAGGUUCAGGUUGUGUUUGCACCCGGGAGGCUAUCCCUAGACCCUCGCCCAUCUCUGCCAUGAAUCUUCCUGCAGCUCUUCGCUUUCUUAUCUGACCAAGACAGGGCCGAGAAAGUGGCCAUGAAGCAGUUGUUUCCACCGUGUAACCAGGAGCCACCUAUCCUGGUCUCUGGCCUCUGUUGCCCCAGGUGAGCCAUGUAUCCUGCUGCCUCCAUUCUGCUAAGUGCAGUCCCGUCUGCCUGCCUGCCCCCUCGUCCUCCCCAGCCCAGCUGAGACCGACUGUGCCAGGCCCUUCCACCCUCGGGAAGCCAGAGCAGUUGGCUCUCCUCGGUGCUGCUGUGUCCCCGUGCCUCCCUCCAUGGAAGCAUUUAUCACCUUGUGUGGUGACCAGCUGUUGACAUGUCUGUACUCCCCACUGGAUUCAGAGUUCUCUGGGGGCAGGGAUGUUGGUAUGGAUCAUGGACCUUACUCUGUUCCUGUCACUUGCUAAGUGAGUGAGUGAAGGGAGCACCAGCUACUGGGACCACAUUUGCUAACCAUGCUUCUGCAUCCCAACUCUUUUUGAUGGCGUGAAAUCUCCAGAGGGAAACGUAUCUGCUGGGGAUGGGGAAAGGAGUAGACCGGGGGGCGGGGUCUAGGUAAGUUGCAUUUCUCCUGAUUCGGCAGUGUAUGAGUUUCCCAUUGCUGCUGUGACAAAUUACCACGUUUGGUGGCUCUAAACAAAACAGAUAGAUUAGCCUGCAGGUGUGGGCUCAGAAGUCUGAAAGGAGCCCCACCAGACGAAAACCAAGGUGUCUGUCCAUCUGUGUUUCUUCUGGAGGCUUCCAUUUCCUUGUCUUUCAGACUCUGGAGUCAGCCUGCAUUCCUUGGCUUGCAGCCCCUUCCUCAUAUCACCCCAACCUCUGACUCCCAUAUGCACUCCGACCUCUUACAUCCCUCUUAUGAUGACCCUUGUGGU